RNAcentral lists this long non-coding RNA (241 nucleotides) under Elaeis guineensis (African oil palm). RNAcentral describes it as "long non-coding RNA (EGUI_LNC050061)". Lineage: Eukaryota; Viridiplantae; Streptophyta; Magnoliopsida; Arecales; Arecaceae. The record is from RNAcentral.
UCUGGCGGCCGAUCCUCCAUAACACUCCCAAGUUUUGUCGACGGAUAAGCACCCACUAGCGUCGACCAGAUUCUUCACGACGGACGGACUCCACCCAAGUUUUCACGAUGAUCGACUACCUUCUAGACUGCACCCGGACUCCUACGGGAGCCAGACUUCAUCCCCAACUCCGGCUGCAGGAAGACUUCAUCCGGACUCCUACGGGAGCCGGACUUCGUCCCCGACUCUGACUGCAGGAAGA